This 440-nucleotide ribosomal RNA is filed under the name uncultured bacterium. RNAcentral's name for it is "partial 16S ribosomal RNA". It matches the Rfam family "Bacterial small subunit ribosomal RNA", at positions 338 to 795 of the family's 1533-position model. The record is from RNAcentral.
CCUACGGGUGACAGCAGUGGGGAAUAUUGCACAAUGGGGGAAACCCUGAUGCAGCGACGCCGCGUGAGUGAUGACGUCUUUCGGUAUGUAAAGCUCUAUCUGUAGGGAAGUAAAUUACGGUACCUGAUUAAGAUGCCCUGGCUAACUACGUGCCAGCAGCCGCGGUUAUACGUAGGGGGCAAGCGUUAUCCGGAUUUACUGGGCGUAAAGGGAGCGUAGACGGCAGCGCAAGUCAGAAGUGAAAUGCCGGGGCUUAACCCCGGAACUGCAUUGGAAACUGUGCAGCUAGAGUGCAGGAGAGGUAAGUGGAAUUCGUAGUGUAGCGGUGAAAUGCGUAGAUAUUAGGAGGAACACCAGUGGCGAAGGCGGCUUACUGGACUGUAACUGACGUUGAGGCUCGAAAGCGUGGGGAGCAAACAGGAUUAGAUACCCCUGUAGUC